AGUCACUGACAUUAGAUACCCCUGUAGUCCAGGGUGUAAACGCUGCAGACUUGGUGUUGGGGGCCCUUUGGGGCAUUCAGUGCCGGAGAGAAGUUGUUAAGUCUGCUACUUGGGGAGUACGUCCGCAAGGAUGAAACUUAAAGGAAUUGGCGGGGGAGCACCGCAACGGGAGGAGCGUGCGGUUUAAUUGGAUUCAACACCGUAAACUCACCAGGGAAGACUGUUACAUGAAGGCCGAGAUGAAGACUCUGCUAGAUUUUCAG
Molecule: ribosomal RNA, 263 nt
Filed under: uncultured archaeon
Lineage: Archaea
Description: partial 16S ribosomal RNA
Rfam family: Archaeal small subunit ribosomal RNA
Source: RNAcentral